This 376-nucleotide RNase P RNA is filed under the name Nostoc sp. 'Peltigera membranacea cyanobiont' N6. Its description in RNAcentral is "RNA component of RNaseP". It matches the Rfam family "Bacterial RNase P class A". From Rfam's summary of the family: Ribonuclease P (RNase P) is a ubiquitous endoribonuclease, found in archaea, bacteria and eukarya as well as chloroplasts and mitochondria. The record is from RNAcentral. Lineage: Bacteria; Bacillati; Cyanobacteriota; Cyanophyceae; Nostocales; Nostocaceae.
AGGAGAGAGUAGACGCAGGCGGUUGCAGAUCAGUCAUAGUUACUGGUUUGAGGAAAGUCCGGACUCCCGAAAAACCAAACUUGCUGGAUAACGUCCAGUGCGAGCGAUCGUGAGGAUAGUGCCACAGAAAGAUACCGCCAGAUUAAUUUUACAUUUUUAAUUGAUCUGGUAAGGGUGCAAAGGUGCGGUAAGAGCGCACCAGCAGUAUCGAGAGGUGCUGGCUCGGUAAACCCCGGUUGGGAGCAAGGCGAUAGGAACUACGGUUGGUUUUUUACCAGUUCCGCUCAAUGAGAGCCGCUAGAGGCGUUUGGUAACAAGCGUCCCAGAUAGAUAACUGCCCUCGCAAGAGAACAGAACCCGGCUUAUGUACUGCUCU